Small nuclear RNA from Suncus etruscus (white-toothed pygmy shrew), 107 nucleotides. NCBI's taxonomy places the organism in Eukaryota, Metazoa, Chordata, Mammalia, Eulipotyphla, Soricidae. The record is from RefSeq and is a predicted model, not a curated record.
UUGAGCUUAAAAUCAAACUUAAAAUAGUUCUGGCUUCGAUACAGAGAAGAUUAGCAUGGCCCCUGCACAAGGAUGACAUGCAAAUUCAUGAAGCGUUACAUAUUUAA